Molecule: ribosomal RNA, 486 nt
Filed under: uncultured bacterium
Lineage: Bacteria
Description: partial 16S ribosomal RNA
Rfam family: Bacterial small subunit ribosomal RNA
Source: RNAcentral
AUUGAACGCUGGCGGCAUGCCUUACACAUGCAAGUCGAACGGCAGCACGGGUGCUUGCACCUGGUGGCGAGUGGCGAACGGGUGAGUAAUACAUCGGAACAUGUCCUGUAGUGGGGGAUAGACCGGCGAAAGCCGGAUUAAUACCGCAUACGAUCUACGGAUGAAAGCGGGGGACCUUCGGGCCUCGCGCUAUAGGGUUGGCCGAUGGCUGAUUAGCUAGUUGGUGGGGUAAAGGCCUACCAAGGCGACGAUCAGUAGCUGGUCUGAGAGGACGACCAGCCACACUGGGACUGAGACACGGCCCAGACUCCUACGGGAGGCAGCAGUGGGGAAUUUUGGACAAUGGGCGAAAGCCUGAUCCAGCAAUGCCGCGUGUGUGAAGAAGGCCUUCGGGUUGUAAAGCACUUUUGUCCGGAAAGAAAUCCUUGGCUCUAAUACAGUCGGGGGAUGACGGUACCGGAAGAAUAAGCACCGGCUAACUACGUG